GGAAUAUUGGACAAUGGGCGCAAGCCUGAUCCAGCCAUGCCGCGUGAGUGAUGAAGGUCUUAGGAUUGUAAAGCUCUUUCACCGGUGAAGAUAAUGACGGUAACCGGAGAAGAAGCCCCGGCUAACUUCGUGCCAGCAGCCGCGGUAAUACGAAGGGGGCUAGCGUUGUUCGGAAUUACUGGGCGUAAAGCGCACGUAGGCGGAUAUUUAAGUCAGGGGUGAAAUCCCAGAGCUCAACUCUGGAACUGCCUUUGAUACUGGGUAUCUUGAGUAUGGAAGAGGUGAGUGGAAUUCCGAGUGUAGAGGUGAAAUUCGUAGAUAUUCGGAGGAACACCAGUGGCGAAGGCGGCUCACUGGUCCAUUACUGACGCUGAGGUGCGAAAGCGUGGGGAGCAAACAGGAUUAGAUACCCGGG
This 415-nucleotide ribosomal RNA is filed under the name uncultured Rhizobium/Agrobacterium group bacterium. RNAcentral describes it as "bacterial SSU rRNA". It matches the Rfam family "Bacterial small subunit ribosomal RNA", at positions 358 to 790 of the family's 1533-position model. The record is from RNAcentral. Lineage: Bacteria; Pseudomonadati; Pseudomonadota; Alphaproteobacteria; Hyphomicrobiales; Rhizobiaceae.